UUAAGGUGGUGCCCAGGUGGGGUCCAGGUCUCAGGUGCUGCCUGUGGUUAUGAAAAGGGAGGACCCAGGGUGAAGGGGUAACGGGAGGGGUCUUCAGUGCUUCCUGAAGUCCUGUUGAGGGCGGAUCACUGCAUGCUAUGCUAGAGCCCUGCUGAAGGUGUUGUCUGGAGGUGCUCACAGGAUUUACUCCGAACGCACUUGAUUUCCGGCAGAGAUAGCCCAGGUCUGAAAGUACUGGCCACGGACGCUGUGUCUUUCCCAUGUGAGGUAUGGGGAGAGUUGUGGCUCAGAUCGUGGUGGUAGUGGUGAUGAUGGUGGUGGGGUGUAUGUGUGUGCGCGCGUGUGUGUGUAUGCCACGAACAACUUGAGAAAUAAUGUCUUUGGGUCUCACAAAUUGGUAUUUUUUCAAAGUCUUACACAGUAAGCCAGCAGAAAAUAAGUAACUUAAAAACAAAGCAAAAACAAAAAACUGUGCCUGUAGGGGACUUUAGAUCCUCACCAAGAUUCUUUCCUGGGGCCCCCGAAUGACUGGAACCUCGGGGGAAUGAUCCUUUGACAGUAGGUGGCCCCUGACCUUAGGCAGCACCACAGAAAGAGAACAGGUGAUGGCUGUGAGUCACACAGUGAACAAAGGAAUGAUUUGACAGUUUGCUACAUAAAAAUAAAAAACAUCUUCUUAGCCUGGUGUGGUAGCACACAUUUAACAGAAGAACAUUGGAGGCUGAGACAGGAUGGCUGUGACCUUAAGGCCAACCUAGGCUCUAUGAUGUGAUCCUCCCCCUCCCACUCCAGAAUAGUAACUAUAAAAAUCAUCUUUACUUAAAGGUCUCUUCAGUGUGCCAACAAACAAAAAUAUUCACGAUAUGUGCGAAUAUCAGGGACGAAGACCAGUUGCUGUGGAGUUGUCAUUUUUUAGCUCAUGUGCCAGGGACAUCCCAAGUGUCCAGGAGAAUCUGUAAAUAUCUUUCUGCUACUUAGCAGAGGCCGGAAAGAGGCAGGCAGCCACUUGGGGGCAGCAUGAAACCCGCACCCCUGUGCUGGGUGGUGGAGGCAUGGCCUCCAGGCCUACACAGCUCAGCAGCAGAGACCGCCCCACCUCCAGAUACGUAUCCUUUCUGCCCUGUGUCCCUUCCAGGGCCCAGGCUUCCUCCCCUGACCCUCUCUGUCUCUUUGGCUUUUCAGAUGGUUAGCAUUUUUCCUCCUGCCUGGCAAUUAGGACAGCUGUGGGACAUGCUUGGUGGCCUUUCCUUGCUGCUUUCUUCCUACCUCUCUGGUUGCCCCACAAGCCCUGUCCUGUCCUUACUGGCUUCAAGGCAGGCAAGCAUAGGGAAUAGCUUAGUAACUUGGGACUCCACUUAGUCUGGGCUACACCCCUCUUCUGGCAUCCUUACCUGCAUGCACAUGCACAUAACACCCCUCUCCAGUGUGCCUAGCAAACCUGUUGGCAACCUAGGACUCCCACCUGCACUGAGAUGCACAAGAUUCCACUCUGGAAAGUGGGAUGAGUUUCUCUUCCUCUUAAGGAUUUACUACACUUUAGAUCUUAUUCAGUCAUAUUGCAGUUAUGUCCAGAAUCAGAACAGGGAGACUGGCUUGGUGUGAACUGGACUGGGGUGCAUUGUGCAUUAAGGCAAAAUGUUCUGUAGGCAAACUUUUAGGGGAGAAUUCCCUAUUUACCACUUUACACCUAUGAGUAGUUGGACGUGCAUAUGAUUAAAACAAGAUGCGUUACGGGAAGAGACCUGUGCACUGGACGGAGGGCUUCUGUAUUCCAAGCCUGCCCCUCAAAAUAGAGAACCACCCAAACUCUGCCAACAGUGUCUCCUCCUUCCUCUGCUCUCCAUAGAAGAAGCCUCCAGGCAUCAACCUGGAGUCCGUGCGCAUCUUCACUCAUACGGCCCCGGUCACUCGUGAUAUCAUAGUUGACCUGUACUAUCGCUUUGCUUUGAAUAAAACUAACCUGGCUCAUG
RNAcentral lists this long non-coding RNA (1970 nucleotides) under Rattus norvegicus (Norway rat). RNAcentral describes it as "long non-coding RNA NONRATT026232". The record is from RNAcentral. Lineage: Eukaryota; Metazoa; Chordata; Mammalia; Rodentia; Muridae.